GACGAACGCUGGCGGCGUGCUUAACACAUGCAAGUCGAACGGAAAGGCCCUGCUUUUGUGGGGUGCUCGAGUGGCGAACGGGUGAGUAACACGUGAGUAACCUGCCCUUGACUUUGGGAUAACUUCAGGAAACUGGGGCUAAUACCGGAUAGGAGCUCCUGCUGCAUGGUGGGGGUUGGAAAGUUUCGGCGGUUGGGGAUGGACUCGCGGCUUAUCAGCUUGUGGGUGGGGUAGUGGCUUACCAAGGCUUUGACGGGUAGCCGGCCUGAGAGGGUGACCGGCCACAUUGGGACUAAGAGACGGCCCAGACUCCUACGGGAGGCAGCAGGGGGGAAUAUUGCACAAUGGGCGGAAGCCUGAUGCAGCAACGCCGCGUGCGGGAUGACGGCCUUCGGGUUGUAAACCGCUUUCGCCUGUGACGAAGCGUGAGUGACGGUAAUGGGUAAAGAAGCACCGGCUAACUACGUG
RNAcentral lists this ribosomal RNA (468 nucleotides) under uncultured bacterium. RNAcentral describes it as "partial 16S ribosomal RNA". It matches the Rfam family "Bacterial small subunit ribosomal RNA", at positions 28 to 507 of the family's 1533-position model. The record is from RNAcentral.